Pelobates cultripes (western spadefoot toad) is the source of this 787-nucleotide non-coding RNA. The record is from the annotation of a GenBank genome assembly. Lineage: Eukaryota; Metazoa; Chordata; Amphibia; Anura; Pelobatidae.
GUGCCCAGUACUCUCAGUCUGUCUCUGUAUAUAGUGCUGAGUACUCUCAGUCUGUCUCUCUAUAUAGUGCCGAGUACUCUCAGUCUGUCUCUGUAUAUAGUGCUCGGUACUCUCAGUCUGUCUCUGUAUAUAGUGCCCAGUACUCUCAGUCUGUCUCUGUAUAUAGUGCUCGGUACUCUCAGUCUGUCUCUGUAUAUAGUGCCCAGUACUCUCAGUCUGUCUCUGUAUAUAGUGCUGAGUACUCUCAGCCUGUCUCUCUAUAUAGUGUCGAGUACUCUCAGUCUGUCUCUGUAUAUAGUGCUCGGUACUCUCAGUCUGUCUCUGUAUAUAGUGCCGAGUACUCUCAGUCUGUCUCUGUAUAUAGUGCUCAGUACUCUCAGUCUGUCUCUGUAUAUAGUGCUCGGUACUCUCAGUCUGUCUCUGUAUAUAGUGCUCGGUACUCUCAGUCUGUCUCUGUAUAUAUUGCCCAGUACUCUCAGUCUGUCUCUGUAUAUAGUGCUCGGUACUCUCAGUCUGUCUCUGUAUAUAGUGCCAAAUACUCUCAGUCUGUCUCUGUAUAUAGUGCCCAGUACUCUCAGUCUGUCUCUGUAUAUAGUGCCCAGUACUCUCAGUCUGUCUCUCUAUAUAGUGCCCAGUACACUCACUCUCUGUAUAGUGGCUGGAAGGGAGUAGAGUGUCUCAGUGAGUGUGUCUACCUUGCUGUCAGUGUGUGUGCCCCAGUCCAGGCCGGUUGCAGUCUCUGUAUCUCACACAGUGUCCCAUGCUCCCUCAGAUCCCAAAUAAAAAA